CCCUGUAUUGAAAGGUGAUCAUGGCGUCCUCGUCGCCCGGUUAUUAUUUUAUUACAGGAAGAAGAAACUGCAAACCUUUCCCUGUAUUUGCAGGACGUCACUUCCUGUCAAACCCUGGUGUUUGCACACA
This 130-nucleotide small nucleolar RNA is filed under the name Gouania willdenowi (blunt-snouted clingfish). RNAcentral describes it as "Small nucleolar RNA SNORA71 (ENSGWIG00000009302.1)". It matches the Rfam family "Small nucleolar RNA SNORA71". Rfam says of the family: The members of this family belong to the H/ACA class of snoRNAs which bind a number of proteins (including dyskerin, Gar1p and Nop10p) to form snoRNP complexes. This class of snoRNAs are thought to guide the sites of modification of uridines to pseudouridines by forming direct base pairing interactions with substrate RNAs. This family includes U71 (SNORA71), ACA39 (SNORA39) and ACA60 (SNORA60). The record is from Rfam by way of RNAcentral. Lineage: Eukaryota; Metazoa; Chordata; Actinopteri; Blenniiformes; Gobiesocidae.